UACGGGGGGGGUAAGCGUUGUUCGGAAUUACUGGGCGUAAAGGGCGCGUAGGCGGCCUGCUAAGUCACACGUGAAAUCCCUCGGCUCAACCGGGGAACUGCGUGUGAUACUGGCGGGCUUGAAUUCGGGAGAGGGAUGUGGAAUUCCAGGUGUAGCGGUGAAAUGCGUAGAUAUCGGGAGGAACACCAGUGGCGAAGGCGACUACCUGGCCUGUUCUUGACGCUGAGGCGCGAAAGCUAGGGGAGCAAACGGG
RNAcentral lists this ribosomal RNA (253 nucleotides) under uncultured bacterium. RNAcentral describes it as "partial 16S ribosomal RNA". It matches the Rfam family "Bacterial small subunit ribosomal RNA", at positions 524 to 776 of the family's 1533-position model. The record is from RNAcentral.